RNAcentral lists this long non-coding RNA (613 nucleotides) under Mytilus galloprovincialis (Mediterranean mussel). The record is from RNAcentral. Lineage: Eukaryota; Metazoa; Mollusca; Bivalvia; Mytilida; Mytilidae.
GUUGAAAGGGUUAAAAAGUAUUUCGUAAUUUAAAAAUAAAAAAAAAACAUAUAUAAUUUCUAGAUGACAUGUUUUUGUCGAUAAAACAUAUGAUAAAGGGAACUAGCUAAAAGAGGAACCAUAUUCUCAUUACACAUAAGAUAACGAAGUUUUUCAAUAUCGCAUAAAUACUCAAAAUCAACAUUUAAAAGACAGGCUUUGGCAUAUAUAAUUCAUGUCUGAUAUCAGAGUAAAAACAACAACUAAAAAGAAAGUGUUUUUCAUCUUCAAUUUGGCAACUAUCACAAAAAAUACAUAAACGGUCUUGUAGAGGUUCUGGUGGUCUAGCAUAUCGACCUGUUUCAACUUUAAGUUGUAACGAACCAGCUCUGAAUAGUGACAAAAUACGUCGGUGGCAUCUAUUAUUAUACCUUUACAUAAGGCUCCGUACCAAUACAAGUUUUAAACAAUCUAUAAAAUCUUAAUUUAUUACCAUUGACAUUAUUUUUAUCAUUCCAUACUUCAUGAUGCCAAGAUUCUUUUUCAAAAGUUUGUAUAGAAUCCCAUACAUUACUCAUAUUAAUUACAUCUUCUACAUUUAUAAUCAAACUAUAUUUACGAGCUAACUGUAAAG